CGGAGUGAGAGCGUACACAGGUGCUGCAUGGCUGUCGUCAGCUCGUGUCGUGAGAUGUUGGUUAAGUCCCGCAACGAGCGCAACCCUGCAUUCAGUUGCCAUCGGUAAGGCCGGGCACUCUGGAUGGACUGCCGGCGACAAGCCGGAGGAAGGUGGGGACGACGUCAAGUCAUCAUGGCCCUUAUGUCCAGGGCGACACACGUGCUACAAUGGCCGGCACAACGGGAAGCGAAGGGGCGACCCUGAGCGGAUCCCACAAAAGCCGGUCCCAGUUCGGAUUGCAGUCUGCAACUCGACUGCAUGAAGUUGGAAUCGCUAGUAAUCGUGGAUCAGCCAAGCCGCGGUGAAUACGUUCCCGGGCCUU
Molecule: ribosomal RNA, 364 nt
Filed under: uncultured Thermovirga sp.
Lineage: Bacteria; Thermotogati; Synergistota; Synergistia; Synergistales; Thermovirgaceae
Description: bacterial SSU rRNA
Rfam family: Bacterial small subunit ribosomal RNA
Source: RNAcentral